CGCCGCGGCCUACCCUCGACGGCCUGAGCAGAGCUACGAGCAGGCGUGGAGCACGGAGCGGAGCAAUGGGGCUAAUCACCUGUGACAUAACCGCUGUGCUCUCGGUCGCUGGAUGUUUCACUUAAGCACUAAAUCCUCCGCCCUUCCUGCGCUGGUUUCUGCUCAGGCAACAGUUGUCUUCCGGAGUUCCAAAGCAGGGCGGGACGUGGGGCUCUCACAGCCCACCAUGUGCCGAUGGGGCACCCAGCUGAGGGCACGUAAAAGACGCCUUUCAGUGAAGGGGAAGAGUCCAGCCAGCAUUGUUUCCUCUCUCUCUCUCUCUCUCUCUCACCCCAAACCCACAGUUUAAGCCUUUGCUGUACAUUACAGAGGCCAGGAAGGUGGGCAAGCAUGCAUCUCAGUUCAGUUGCAAGCACACUAAGGAGAGAUGUGAACCUCCAGCCAUUCCUUGUCACACAGCC
Molecule: long non-coding RNA, 461 nt
Filed under: Gallus gallus (chicken)
Lineage: Eukaryota; Metazoa; Chordata; Aves; Galliformes; Phasianidae
Description: long non-coding RNA NONGGAT006654
Source: RNAcentral